AAUGAACGCUGGCGGCGUGCCUAACACAUGCAAGCCGGAUGUGCCCGCAAGGGUGCAUGGCAGACGGGUGAGUAACGCGUGGGGAAUCUACCUUUUAGUGGGGAAUAACGCUCCGAAAGGAGUGGUAAUACCGCAUGUGACCAUCGGCUGGGAUGCUGAUGGUGAAACCCUGGGACCUUCGGGCCAGGGGCUAGAAGAGGAUCCUGCGUCUGAUUAGCUUGUUGGUGAGGUAACGGCUCACCAAGGCGACGAUCAGUAGCUGGUCUGAGAGGAUGGUCAGCCACACUGGGACUGAGAUACGGCCCAGACUCCUACGGGAGGCAGCAGUCGAGAGGCUUCGGCAAUGGGGGAAACCCUGACCGAGCGACGCCGCGUGAGCGAUGAAGCCCUUCGGGGUGUAAAGCUCUUUUGUCAGGGAGCAAAUCCUAACGGCUAAUAUCCGUUGGGGAUGAGAGUACCUGAAGAAUAAGCACCGGCUAACUACGUG
This 487-nucleotide ribosomal RNA is filed under the name uncultured bacterium. RNAcentral describes it as "bacterial SSU rRNA". It matches the Rfam family "Bacterial small subunit ribosomal RNA", at positions 29 to 507 of the family's 1533-position model. The record is from RNAcentral.